UGGGUCAUGUGACCUACAAAGACCAAUCAGUUAGAGACUACAGCCUGUAUAAAAGCAGAGGAGGUGGCGCGUUUCCUUCUUCUUGAGAAUCUCCCGAAAGAAGUAGUGCAGUAGUAAAAUCAGAAGAAGAAGCAGCAGCGGUUCUGUAGAUCUGCUUCCAGUCUUUGCCGUCUCUGCAGUUAUGGAUCUGAACCCAGGACGCAGGUCUCGGUCAGCGCUGGGGGAACCACAUGCAGGUCCAGGUGAUGACCCUGGGUGACAUGGACAUGAACUGGAUGGAGACUGUACGAUCCAGGUAAUGUUUCUCAGCUCUGCAGCCUUUGGCUAACACAGCAGCAUGCUAUCCUAAGGAUCUGAGCUACAUGUGGCUCAUGGUUCUCCAAAUGCAUGCGAGAACAUUGGGUGGUCUUUGACUGCUGAGGCCCCUCUGCCUCCAGCAGCCACUCAACCGUCCUACAGGUCAGUAGACGGGUCAGAACCACUGACUCUUCUUCACUCUUUUUCAGAAGGGGUAAAUGUUGGUGUACAGGUUGACUGGGAAGUGAGCGCUAGCUCUGCCCUCUAAAGAUGUUGGUGUGAGAAGAUCACCAUGGAGACCAGCUGCAGGCCAGGAGUUCAGAAAGCUGCUGCUUGAUGAGAAUGUGUGCAAAGAAUCCAUGACAAAUGAUUGUGAAACUGAUGCUGUAAAACUGUCAGCUGUUGGGUUGGAAUAAAAACCACUGAAAAUA
This is a long non-coding RNA of Poecilia latipinna (sailfin molly), 728 nucleotides long. RefSeq lists it as uncharacterized. Lineage: Eukaryota; Metazoa; Chordata; Actinopteri; Cyprinodontiformes; Poeciliidae. The transcript is spliced from 5 exons. The record is from RefSeq and is a predicted model, not a curated record.